CCUACGGGGGGCUGCAGUGAGGAAUAUUGGUCAAUGGCCGGAAGGCUGAACCAGCCAUGCCGCGUGAAGGUCAGUGCCCUAUGGGCGUUAAACUUCUUUUGUGCGGGAGCAAUAAUGGUCACGUGUGGCCAGACGAGAGUACCGUACGAAUAAGCAUCGGCUAACUCCGUGCCAGCAGCCGCGGUAAUACGGGGGAUGCAAGCGUUAUCCGGAUUUAUUGGGUUUAAAGGGUGCGUAGGCUGUGAGGUAAGUCAGCGGUGAAAUGCCCCCGCUCAACGGGGUGAAGUGCCAUUGAUACGGCCUUGCUGGAAUGCGGAUGCCGUGGGAGGAAUGUGUGGUGUAGCGGUGAAAGGCAUAGAUAUCACACAGAACACCGAUUGCGAAGGCAUCUCACGAAUCCGCGAUUGACGCUGAUGCACGAAAGCGUGGGUAUCAAACAGGAUUAGAUACCCGUGUAGUC
RNAcentral lists this ribosomal RNA (460 nucleotides) under uncultured bacterium. RNAcentral describes it as "partial 16S ribosomal RNA". It matches the Rfam family "Bacterial small subunit ribosomal RNA", at positions 338 to 795 of the family's 1533-position model. The record is from RNAcentral.